UGGCUGUGUUUGUUUCUCUUUUAUUUGAUGGGUAAUAUGUAAACCAAAAUCAUUGUUAGUUGUAUUUAUUAAAGUUUAUAACUUACUCUGCUUUUUUAUUUAGGUAAUUUCACUGAUCUUGGUUGUAGUCUUCGUCUUCUUCGUAAGCAUAAGUUUGUAAAUUGUUAAAUAUUUGGCCGUGUAGUUUAUAUUUGUUUAGCUGGCUCAAUGUAUGUGUUGUUGAGUUUUAGUUGAGUUGAUUGGUUUGGUAUAUUUGUUUUGAAGUUUAUUUGUAAGAUUAGACAAAAAGAGAGGUGAUCAUUAAUGAUUCGUCUUUUUUGGGAUUCUAGUUUUUUGGUGUUUUGAUUGUUUAAGUUAUUGUGGUUUCUUUUAAACAGUAAAAUAAAGAUUUGUGUAAAAUUAAAUUGAUAAGUAAGAGAGAUAAAUAGACGACCACAAAUCUUGGGUAUGAAAUAUUUUUGAUUAUUGAUGUUAGCAAAUUAUAGAUAGUAAUAUAAAGGAAAUUAUGUGUUGAUUGUUUCUUACGGAUCAAUGAGGAGACGGAUAACGACUCGAGUUGUUUCUUUGGUGAGGCCAUAGCCCUGGACA
RNAcentral lists this long non-coding RNA (588 nucleotides) under Brassica napus (rape). RNAcentral describes it as "long non-coding RNA (BNAP_LNC021306)". The record is from RNAcentral. Lineage: Eukaryota; Viridiplantae; Streptophyta; Magnoliopsida; Brassicales; Brassicaceae.